Long non-coding RNA from Vidua chalybeata, 1445 nucleotides. RefSeq lists it as uncharacterized. NCBI's taxonomy places the organism in Eukaryota, Metazoa, Chordata, Aves, Passeriformes, Viduidae. The record is from RefSeq and is a predicted model, not a curated record. The transcript is spliced from 2 exons.
CUCAGUGAUGCCCCGGUGGGGGCUCAGUGAUGCCCGGUGGGGGCUCAUGAUUCCCCGGUAGAGGCUCAGUGAUGCCCCGGUAGAGGCUGAGUGCCCCGGUGAGGCAGGGUGGAUCUGCAGAUCGGGUGCCCACGGUGGAGCUGCAGAUCGAGUGCCCACGGUGGAGCUGCAGAUCGAGUGCCCAGGGUGGAGCUGCAGAUCGGGUGCCCACGGUGGAGCUGCAGAUCGGGUGCCCAGGGUGGAGCUGCAGAUCGAGUGCCCACGGUGGAGCUGCAGAUCGAGUGCCCACGGUGGAGCUGCAGAUCGGGUGCCCAGGCUGGAGCUGCAGAUCGGGUGCCCAGGGUGGAGCUGCAGAGCGGGUGCCCACGGUGGAGCUGCAGAGCGGGUGCCCAGGGUGGAGCUGCAGAGCGGGUGCCCAGGCUGGAGCUGCAGAGCGGGUGCCCAGGCUGGAGCUGCAGAUCGGGUGCCCAGGCUGGAGCUGCAGAGCGGGUGCCCAGGGUGGAGCUGCAGAGCGGACGGCAGCGCUGGGUGCAGCAGGGGCGGGUGCGGACCCAGCCCUGGCUGCAGGCGCUGCCCUCGGGGCUCGCUGCUCCCGUCCCCUGGCACGCUUCACGCUGUUACGGUAUUCCUGUUGACUAAACUUGCUGUAGUAGAGGUUUUUACACACACACACAGGCAGCAUAUGUAACCAUUUUUUAGAAUACUCUACAGAACAGCACUACCUCCCUCUGCUUACUUCAUUUCACAGGUGUGUUUUACGCCCUUCACUUUUUGCAGCUGCUGGUGACUCAAACGUGCUCUUACCUGAAAACUGUGCACCUUUGCCUGAUUUUUCCUAUGAGUUUUUUUUUUGUAGCAGUGCAAUUUCUAUGCUCUUACUCUGAGCUAGUCUGAUUUUUGAAUCAAGCCCAGCUCCCUCAGCUGGCACUCAGUAACACUCAUGUAUAUCUGUAUAAAAGGUACUCCGUGACCCCCAUGAUGGAGAAGGUCAGAAUAAACCAUCACAAUGGUCUCUGCUGGCCUUGGGCACUGUGAACCUCUGCAUUUGUAUAUUUGAAUGGAUCUGAUUACUGCCUGCCCCUUGCCAAAAGUGCUAGAAUUUACAGAAUAGUGUCAUUGACUUAAGUGCCUGUUCUUUUACCUUAAGGAAUCCAUUUCUGCUUUCUCUGUGAGCUGUGACCUAAUUAAUGUAUCAAACUCUGCAAUUUUCUGUUCUCCUCGUUCCCUCACGCAUAGGGCAGGUCUUGGUUCACACAUUCUGACAGGAGUUUAUUGGAUGGGAAUGAACUCACCCGGGAAUGGGCACAGAGGGUUCAUGGGUUCAUUUCUGCAGCAACAUGUUUAUUUCUUGUUUAAGUGGACUGAUGAAGAGCAAAGGGCAGUGAAUUUACAGCCAAGCACCAUCCACACAGACCGCUGCUGAAUAAAACACAAUUUAAGCUGUU